Molecule: long non-coding RNA, 1090 nt
Filed under: Triticum aestivum (bread wheat)
Lineage: Eukaryota; Viridiplantae; Streptophyta; Magnoliopsida; Poales; Poaceae
Description: long non-coding RNA (TAES_LNC028298)
Source: RNAcentral
GUCACAGCUCGCUUUAUCAAGGGUGUUGACAAAAGGGAAACCAUCACUAGAGGAUGAGUGACUUCUUCGGUCAGGCUCACAUGAACAAAGGGCAAGCAUAUAUAUGCUCGCCUUCAAAUGCACUUCCAAGGGACCGCGCCUGAUAGUCUACCCAAUAUAAGCAAGUUGCAAGAGCCCCUUGCUAUAUAACUUAGCAUUAGUAUAGAUGCCUACCAAGACUUCUAUGUUUAUCAUCCUUUUGGAUCUUAUGCUUAGAUUGCCAUGUGGUAUGCUUUUCAAACAGCCAUGAUGAAAGAAACAUAUGUUUUCUCCUUGAAGUGCACGUCCAAAGGCCUCUGCAUGAUUAUCUAUCCAGUCUAAGCAGAUCACAAGAAUCCUUUUCUACCUGACUUAGUAUUACUAUCAGUACCUGCCGAUACUUUUAUAUUUGGCAUCAUUUUGGAUCUCAUGUAAAACAUGUAUCAUCAGUAGUCAUCUAUCUAUAAUCAAUCAGUACUUAUUUCCAUAUGUUUUAUUUCUACGGGUUCCCUUUUCCCACACAUGGAUGCUGACCACGGUGAACUUCCAAUCACAACUGGAGGCGGAACAACCACUGUCACGGCCCGCUUUAUAAGGGAGUUGACAAAAGGGCCACCAUCACUAGAGGAUGAGUGACUUCUUCGGCCAGGCUCACAUGAACAAAGGGCAAGCAUAUAUAUGCUCGCCUUCAAAUGCACUUCCAAGGGACCACGCCUGAUCGUCUACCCAAUAUAAGCAAGUUGCAAGAGCCCCUUGCUAUAUAACUUAGCAUUAGUAUAGAUGCCUACCAAGACUUCUAUGUUUAUCAUCCUUUUGGAUCUUAUGCUUAGACUGCCGUGUGGUAUGCUUUUCAAACAGCCAUGAUGAAAGAAACAUAUGUUUUCUCCUUGAAGUGCAUGUCCAAAGGCCUCUGCAGAUCACAAGAAUCCUUUGCUACCUGACUUAGUAUUACUAUCAGUACCUGCCGAUACUUUUAUAUUUGGCAUCAUUUUGGAUCUCAUGUAAAACAUGUAUCAUCAGUAGUCAUCUAUCUAUAAUCAAUCAGUAUUUAUUUCCAUAUGUUUUAUUUCUA